Molecule: ribosomal RNA, 469 nt
Filed under: uncultured bacterium
Lineage: Bacteria
Description: partial 16S ribosomal RNA
Rfam family: Bacterial small subunit ribosomal RNA
Source: RNAcentral
UGGGGAAUUUUGGACAAUGGGGGCAACCUGAUCCAGCAAUGCCGCGUGUGUGAAGAAGGCCUUCGGGUUGUAAAGCACUUUUGUCCGGAAAGAAAACGUCGUGGUUAAUACCCGUGGCGGCUGACGGUACCGGAAGAAUAAGCACCGGCUAACUACGUGCCAGCAGCCGCGGUAAUACGUAGGGUGCAAGCGUUAAUCGGAAUUACUGGGCGUAAAGCGUGCGCAGGCGGUCCGCUAAGACAGAUGUGAAAUCCCCGGGCUUAACCUGGGAACUGCAUUUGUGACUGGCGGGCUAGAGUAUGGCAGAGGGGGGUAGAAUUCCACGUGUAGCAGUGAAAUGCGUAGAGAUGUGGAGGAAUACCGAUGGCGAAGGCAGCCCCCUGGGCCAAUACUGACGCUCAUGCACGAAAGCGUGGGGAGCAAACAGGAUUCAGAUACCCUGGUAGUCCACGCCCUAAACGAUGUCAAC